Labeo rohita (rohu) is the source of this 1091-nucleotide long non-coding RNA. RefSeq lists it as uncharacterized. The transcript has 3 exons. The record is from RefSeq and is a predicted model, not a curated record. NCBI's taxonomy places the organism in Eukaryota, Metazoa, Chordata, Actinopteri, Cypriniformes, Cyprinidae.
UCGGAGGCGCUCAGUGCGAAGUUUGGUUAGUUUGACUAUCAUCCUGAGCGUUUUCUUUUCUGGUGUUUUUCCGUUGCCGAUUGGACUGUGUUUCUCGUGUUUUGAUUUAUCGCUGCCUGCCCCGACCUUCUGCCUGGACUAUCGUUUAUUCUCUGGAUUUUCCCCGUUGCACUGUUUGCUGGUGAUUAACUCUGCCUGUCUGACUACGAGUUUGUUAAUAAACAUGUCGCAAAUGGAUCCCACGCCUCCCGAGCAGUCACUGACCGCACAACAAAGUUCUACUCUCAGAUUGGGCCGAACAGUUUACUACUUCUACAAUGAAGUUCUUUCCUCUAUCGAUCUUUUUAGGCUGCAUCCUGUGACUGCUGAUUGGCUCCGUAAGCUGUCAAUCAUCAUUAUCAGACGUGACGCGGACCUAUCUGCUGCGAGUGAGGUUUCUACCGGCAGAGUUGAAAGGACGCUGGAAGGAUUGGAUGGAGGGAGCUGUUUCUUUUGCUCCCGGACUGUUGAGGUUUUUGCUUGUUUUUGUUUGUUUUGAUUUAUGGCGAAAUUUGUUUGUUUUGUUUGACAACUGUUAAACCUUACCACCUUUCGAUUCGUUGUUUUGCUUUGUUAUUUCUUUGUUUUGGAUGGCAUUGCUCUCUGAGCUUUGUUAAGCUAAUGUUUACUCUUUACCCAAGAGGAAGGUGGAUAAGGAAGAUGUCGUACGACUUCUAUUGUGCAACACUUAGGUAACACUGUGUAUAGAGACCCCAGGUAAGAGGUGAACGCCACUUUUUGUAUGUUUUUAUUUUGUUAGCUGAGAGUAGGGAAGCAUACGGCGCUUGGCGCUGAAGAUUUAUUUUCUUUCUUUUUUUCUCUUUCCCCCCUUUAGCUAGGUUAGAGGUUGGAAAUAAGUUUGACUUUUUUUGUUGUUGUUUAUUUCGUUUCUUUGGCGUCACUAGCAUCCCCUUUUCUCUUGGGUUAUUUUUGUUUUGGUUUUCUUUGCCCAACAUUGUAAAACUUUGUACAUAAUGGUUGUUUUCUUAUAUAUACUUUUGUAAAUAGACUUUUUUUGUAAAUAUACUGUGUACUCCUUUUCACUUCGUACA